AUUGAACGCUAGCGGGAUGCCUUACACAUGCAAGUCGAACGGAGUGGCGAACGGGGGAGGAAUGUAUGGGAACGUGCCCGUGGGCGGGGGAUAAAUACGCGGAGGCGUAGCUAAUAACGCAUACUAUUGGAGCGGCCGCUGUCGGCUUAGCUAGUUGGUGGGGUAACGGCUCACCAAGGCGACGAUCCGUAGCUGGUUUGAGAGGACGACCAGCCACACUGGGACUGAGACACGGCCCAGACUCCUACGGGAGGCAGCAGUGGGGAAUUUUGGGCAAUGGGGGAAACCCUGACCGAGCCACGCCGCGUGUGCGAUGAAGGCUUUCGGGUUGUAAAGCACUGUUGGCAGGAAAGCGGUACCUGCAGAAUAAGCACCGGCUAACUACGUGCCAGCAGCCGCGGUAAUAC
RNAcentral lists this ribosomal RNA (407 nucleotides) under uncultured bacterium. Its description in RNAcentral is "partial 16S ribosomal RNA". It matches the Rfam family "Bacterial small subunit ribosomal RNA", at positions 29 to 526 of the family's 1533-position model. The record is from RNAcentral.